Non-coding RNA from Camellia sinensis, 1440 nucleotides. Lineage: Eukaryota; Viridiplantae; Streptophyta; Magnoliopsida; Ericales; Theaceae. The record is from RefSeq and is a predicted model, not a curated record.
UUAAUACAAAUGCUGACGAGUCGACGAAGAAGUUAUUUUGGCAUUUGUUGAAAAAAAAUGAAAAGAGUAGAAGGCUAGAGUUAAAAAAAUAGGAUAUAUGUCAUUCGACAAUGAUGUUGAUAUGCUAACUCAUCGACCCGAAAGAGUACAUGAGCAUCAAUGGCGGAGCUUGCUCUAUUAUUGGGCCACUCGGAAGACACAGGUAUCAUUUAAUAAAAAAAGUACAAAAAACAAAUAAAUUCGGAAGAAGAAGACAUUAAAUCACAUAACCGGCAGAAAACCAUUCUUAGUUGCUUGAGUAGAGGUAAAUAGUUUCUUUAUAUAUCAAAUUGAAAUUGUAUAUUUUGAUUUUGUUACUCAUUUUUAAUUGUGAUUAUAGGAAACAAAUAAGAAGAAUGGAGUUCCUGCAACUUGCUUAAAGGUGUGGAUGGCUGGGUACUCAAAGGAUAACAAACCAAGUACUGAUAAAGUUGCUGAGGUGAUAGUAUGUAGCCUGGUUGCUUCUCUCUCUCACACAUAGCUAUGAUUGUUUUCAUGAUUCUCUUUUCAGUUUUGUUGAUAUAAAUUUUAUUGAUGGCUAAUUAACUAAUUAACAAUUGCCGACACAAAUGAAGGAGCUUGGGGCGCAAUCCAAUGCUACAGAUAAAGAGAUUAUCACACAGGUUUGCAACUGAAUGACAUUGUAUUGAAUUGUCUAAAUAUUAUAUGUCAUCGUCAUGCAUUAUAAGUUUCUUUAAUUUGGGGUACAAUGAUCGUGAUUAUAAGUUUGUUAACUUUUCUUUCAUAGACUGUGUGCUUGAUGGGAGUUAUUGAGAAAUACAAGGAAUUGGCCAAGUACAAUCUUAGGCAGCUAUCAUCCAAACCAUAGUUCCUUCCACACUUUUUUGGGUAUUAUUAUAAUUGGGAGUUUCUUUGUAGUUUUUGUCAGAUGUUAUCAAAUCAUUGUUAGGUUAAAGAUUUUGAUGAAAAUCAAAAGAUGAAUGAAAGAUCUUGGACCUGAGAGGAUGAGGGGCUGUUUUCUUUUCAAUUAUUUAAUAACAUGCUUAUCAUUCUAAAAGUUCAAUGUAGCAUAGCUAUGUUUUUAUUACCCCUAUUAAUUUUACUUCUGGAGGCUUUGUUAAGCUGUUUGACUAAGCAGUACUUGGAGUGAGGAGAGCUAUAAGUUGUUGGAGUUGUCAUCUUUUAGCCUAUUUUCCUAUGAACUCAAUACUCCAUUUAACACUGUUAUUCUUUAUUGAGCUGAGUGUUCACUGUGUGGAUUGAGUGAUUUAGUUGUCCUAUGUUGUGAGUUUGCUACAAACAGUGUUAUAUUGGUCCUUAAUGCUAUAUUUCAUAUGUGUGCUCUUAUAAUUCUAGGUCAGCUUUAUCUCUGUUGGGACAUGAAGAUAUAUGCAUAUGGUCUACAUAUUGUCCAGGUUGAUGCUAGAGUGUAUAGAGGAA